RNAcentral lists this ribosomal RNA (420 nucleotides) under uncultured bacterium. Its description in RNAcentral is "bacterial SSU rRNA". It matches the Rfam family "Bacterial small subunit ribosomal RNA", at positions 355 to 774 of the family's 1533-position model. The record is from RNAcentral.
UAAGGAAUAUUGCUCAAUGGGAGAAAUCCUGAAGCAGCAACGCCGCGUGGAGGAUGAGGGGUCUAUGACUUGUAAACUCCUGUAAAGAAGGAAAAAAUUCCCAUUAGAUGGGAGAUGAUGGUACUUCUGGAGUAAGCCCCGGCUAACUACGUGCCAGCAGCCGCGGUAAUACGUAGGGGGCAAGCGUUGUCCGGAUUUACUGGGUGUAAAGGGUGCUCAGGCGGAUUUGUAAGUCAGAGGUGAAAUCUUACAGCUUAACUGUGAAACUGCCUUUGAUACUGCAAGCCUAGAGUAUGGAAGAGAGUGAUGGAAUAUCUGGUGUAGCAGUGAAAUGCGUAGAUAGCAGAUAGAACACCAAUGGCGAAGGCAGUCACUUGGUCCAUUACUGACGCUAAAGCACGAAAGCGUGGGUAGCAAACA